GCAGCACAGUAAGAGCUUGCUCUUACGGGUGGCGAGUGGCGGACGGGUGAGGAAUACAUCGGAAUCUACUUUUUCGUGGGGGAUAACGUAGGGAAACUUACGCUAAUACCGCAUACGACCUACGGGUGAAAGCAGGGGAUCUUCGGACCUUGCGCGAUUGAAUGAGCCGAUGUCGGAUUAGCUAGUUGGCGGGGUAAAGGCCCACCAAGGCGACGAUCCGUAGCUGGUCUGAGAGGAUGAUCAGCCACACUGGAACUGAGACACGGUCCAGACUCCUACGGGAGGCAGCAGUGGGGAAUAUUGGACAAUGGGCGCAAGCCUGAUCCAGCCAUACCGCGUGGGUGAAGAAGGCCUUCGGGUUGUAAAGCCCUUUUGUUGGGAAAGAAAUCCA
This 391-nucleotide ribosomal RNA is filed under the name Stenotrophomonas sp. '4.1 MW-5'. RNAcentral describes it as "bacterial SSU rRNA". It matches the Rfam family "Bacterial small subunit ribosomal RNA", at positions 66 to 454 of the family's 1533-position model. The record is from RNAcentral. Lineage: Bacteria; Pseudomonadati; Pseudomonadota; Gammaproteobacteria; Lysobacterales; Lysobacteraceae.